AGAGCAACAUUUCUCAACAGCUGGUCCAUGGACCCGUGCUGGUCCCUGAGAUCUCCCUGACAGUUUAAGAAGGCAGCAUGCCAGCCGCUGGUAUCAAAAAAGUUGAGAAAUGCUGAUCUAUAGAGUUUAACUAUCUCAAUCUAUGGCAUGGGUAAAGAAUUUGUUGUCUUUUAGCUAGCCAAAGUGGCCUUUUUUUCAAAGUGUAUAUUUGUGGCAGGGGAGAAACAGUUUAUUACAUUUUUCUUAUCUAGUAUUUUAUCGACAGCUCUCUGACCAAUUGGGAACUGUUGUGUACUGAAUGAGGUGGGGAAAUGAUACUGCUGAAAAGAAAUGCUGUAGUGAAGAGCAAUGCUGUCAGCUGGAGAGCCAGGCAGAGAAUGACAGACCACAGAAUCCUCCAGAGUCUUCAGCCAAUGAUAUCAUUACAUUCCAGUGCUAUAGCCCCAGCAGAGAAGACUACUCAAGCUAGUAGAACAAUCAGGAAUACAAGCCAGGUCUUCUGAGUCCCAGUCCAGUGCUCUAACCUUCAGGCAAUAUUGCCUCUCAUUGAAAGCAAUUAAAUCGAUGGGAGCUGGUUCAUAUUUGCUUCUGAAAAUCCAACUAUGUACCUAUCUGCAU
This is a non-coding RNA of Chrysemys picta bellii (western painted turtle), 618 nucleotides long. NCBI's taxonomy places the organism in Eukaryota, Metazoa, Chordata, Testudines, Emydidae. The record is from RefSeq and is a predicted model, not a curated record.